AAUAGAUACCCAGGUAGUCCACGCCGUAAACGAUGAGAGCUAGACGUCGGGCGGCUUGCCGUUCGGUGUCGCAGUUAACGCAUUAAGCUCUCCGCCUGGGGAGUACGGCCGCAAGGUUAAACUCAAAGGAAUUGACGGGGGCCCGCACAAGCGGUGGAGCAUGUGGUUUAAUUCGAAGCAACGCGCAGAACCUUACCAUCCCUUGACUUGGACGUCGCGGGCCCAGAGAUGGGUCUUUCAGUUCGGCUGGACGUCACACAGGUGCUGCAUGGCUGUCGUCAGCUCGUGUCGUGAGACGUUGGGUUAAGUCCCGCAACGAGCGCAACCCUCGCCUUCAGUUGCCAGCAUUCAGUUGGGCACCCUGGAGGAACCGCCGGUGAUAAGCCGGAGGAAGGUGGGGAUGACGUCAAGUCCUCAUGGCCCUUACGGGAUGGGCUACACACGUGCUACAAUGGUGGUGACAGAGGGUAAUCCCUAAAAGCCAUCUCAGUUCGGAUCGGGGUCUGCAACUCGACCCCGUGAAGUUGGAAUCG
This 533-nucleotide ribosomal RNA is filed under the name uncultured bacterium. RNAcentral's name for it is "bacterial SSU rRNA". It matches the Rfam family "Bacterial small subunit ribosomal RNA", at positions 777 to 1334 of the family's 1533-position model. The record is from RNAcentral.